This 500-nucleotide ribosomal RNA is filed under the name uncultured bacterium. RNAcentral describes it as "partial 16S ribosomal RNA". It matches the Rfam family "Bacterial small subunit ribosomal RNA", at positions 899 to 1397 of the family's 1533-position model. The record is from RNAcentral.
ACUCAAAUGAAUAGACGGGGGCCCGCACAAGCAGCGGAGCAUGUGGUUUAAUUCGAAGCAACGCGUAGAACCUUACCAGGGCUUGACAUGUCAGGAAGUCUGCAGAGAUGCGGAUGUGCCCUUCGGGGAACCUGAACACAGGUGGUGCAUGGUUGUCGUCAGCUCGUGUCGUGAGAUGUUGGGUUAAGUCCCGCAACGAGCGCAACCCCUAUCGUAUGUUGCCAGCAGGUAAAGCUGGGCACUCAUGCGAGACUGCCGGUGACAAACCGGAGGAAGGUGGGGAUGACGUCAAAUCAUCAUGCCCCUUAUGUCCUGGGCGACACACGUGCUACAAUGGCGCCCACAAAGCGAACCGAGACCGCGAGGUGGAGGAAACCGCAAAAGGGCGUCGUAGUUCAGAUCGCAGGCUGCAACUCGCCUGCGUGAAGCCGGAGUUGCUAGUAAUCGCGGAUCAGCACGCCGCGGUGAAUACGUUCCCGGGCCUUGUACACACCGCCCGU